AAAAACGCCCCGCACGCAGAUGCCUGGCUGUACUGCUGGAAUGUGAUGCACACGGACAGCGGGUUGUCCAGAUUCCGGAGGGCGGAUGAGCCUGACUCUAAGGCACUUGGAUACCACUACUGCCAAGGAAGCAGUGAUUGGAAGGUGGAGAGAGAGAGGCGAACAGCAGCGUAAUCCAUCUCUCAUCUGUCGUGCUAUGUUCUUUCGCCUCAGACAUUUAACUCCAGGAUACUUCCGCCUCUUACAGAUGCAGCUGACCAGUAGAUCUGAAUCAGAAUCUGAAGACCGGCUGAUAAACCACUUGGCCCUGCUGCUAGCAGUUAUGGGAUUAGGCCUGUCUUACUAUAGUGUCCGGCAGAUGAGCAAAGAGUUCAAACCUGAUCCAGAACCUUGAGUCAGGAGUGACCAAAGAUGACAGCAAUGUGAGCCAGAAGAAUGGACGCUGAAGGACUCUGCUGUUAAUUCCACAGCAUAAGAAAUAUCCUUUGUGCGUGGAUUGCCUGACCGCCUUGCUGCGUCUAUGAGGAUAUGCAAAACCACCUUUCUGGUGCUGACAUGGAAGGUGAAUUUCUGAUGCCCUUCUCGGACCAUCUAGCUUCAUUCUCUAAUCCUAGAUGUUCUCCAGUGAAGAGCAGGCUUAGGUAUUUCUCCAUGCACUACGAUCUAGUCUGAGAAUCUAGCCCUUCUUCCCAUUGCAGGACUUUCUAUCCUUCUCUGGACCUUGAUCUUCAUGUCCAGAGGACAUGGAAACAUCACCAAGAAGGUGAAGCCCUGUGUGCAACAUCCGAUGGUAAUGGUGACUACUGCUUUACUGGUUUCCUAAAAAGUGAAAUUUCUUUCCAGAGGGCUACGCCCAGCCACUUUUAGGACCCUCUUAUCUCAGCAUAGGAAAGGUGGGAGAGGCUCAGGAGCGACAGGCAAAGCGAAAAUUCUGCCCUGGAAAGUAAACACGUUAGUUACAGCCGGUUGAAUGAGCCCUUUUGGUGUCAGCGCCCUCCCACACAGCCGGCGGGAGCAUCAUGACGAGCCCGAAUUGCAGACAGCCCGUUGCAUAACAGAACAUGUGGCCCAGACAGCUGUGACCUAAAUCAUGGCCUUAAAGAAUGAUUAGGAAGAAGAUGGAGCUUUAAAAAGCUGGUGACCUUCUUCUCUUGUAAAAAUUUAAGCAACGGUCAAGGGGAAUAAAAAAAAAGAAUGCGCGCUUGACGCA
RNAcentral lists this long non-coding RNA (1210 nucleotides) under Salvator merianae (Argentine black and white tegu). RNAcentral describes it as "lncRNA (ENSSMRG00000001057.1)". Lineage: Eukaryota; Metazoa; Chordata; Lepidosauria; Squamata; Teiidae. The record is from RNAcentral.